Non-coding RNA from Triticum urartu, 194 nucleotides. Lineage: Eukaryota; Viridiplantae; Streptophyta; Magnoliopsida; Poales; Poaceae. The record is from RefSeq and is a predicted model, not a curated record.
GGUGAUGUAGAAGGGCAGCAGGGCAGCAGCCUCAACGCCACAGGUAACCGCUGAGGAUGUUUAAAAAGGACACCACCAAUAGCAGAGCACUCUAUUGCUGCAAUUAUAUGCAGCGUGUGUGUAUGAUGUUGUUGGGUUGUUGACAUGGCCCGUGGUCCAGUUGCGGCUCAUGCUCAAGGCACGGUCGAGGCUGG